Nycticebus coucang (slow loris) is the source of this 103-nucleotide small nucleolar RNA. RefSeq annotates it as small nucleolar RNA U13. The record is from RefSeq and is a predicted model, not a curated record. The transcript has a single exon. Lineage: Eukaryota; Metazoa; Chordata; Mammalia; Primates; Lorisidae.
AUCCUUUGUAGUUCAGAAGCGUGAUGUUUGGGUUUUCAUGUGCAUGCGUGAGAUGUGCCUCCCACAAAUCUUGUUCCAACCUGGGCACAUUAUCCGUCUGAUA